AUUGAACGCUGGCGGAAUGCUUUACACAUGCAAGUCGAACGGCAGCACGGACUUCGGUCUGGUGGCGAGUGGCGAACGGGUGAGUAAUGUAUCGGAACGUGCCCAGUCGUGGGGGAUAACGUAGCGAAAAUUACGCUAAUACCGCAUACGAUCUAUGGAUGAAAGCGGGGGAUCGCAAGACCUCGCGCGAUUGGAGCGGCCGAUAUCAGAUUAGGUAGUUGGUGGGGUAAAGGCCCACCAAGCCAAUGAUCUGUAGCUGGUCUGAGAGGACGACCAGCCACACUGGAACUGAGACACGGUCCAGACUCCUACGGGAGGCAGCAGUGGGGAAUUGUGGACAAUGGGCGAAAGCCUGAUCCAGCCAUUCCGCGUGCAGGAUGAAGGCCCUCGGGUUGUAAACUGCUUUUGUACAGAACGAAAAGGUUUCUACUAAUACUAGGAGCUCAUGACGGUACUGUAAGAAUAAGCACCGGCUAACUACGUGCCAGCAGCCGCAGUAA
This 500-nucleotide ribosomal RNA is filed under the name uncultured bacterium. RNAcentral describes it as "partial 16S ribosomal RNA". It matches the Rfam family "Bacterial small subunit ribosomal RNA", at positions 30 to 523 of the family's 1533-position model. The record is from RNAcentral.